UAUAGCUCAGUGGUAGGGCAUUUGCCUUGCAUGCAUGUGGCUCUGAGUUUAAUCCCCAGUA
This 61-nucleotide transfer RNA is filed under the name Heterocephalus glaber (naked mole-rat). It matches the Rfam family "tRNA", at positions 6 to 65 of the family's 71-position model. Rfam says of the family: Transfer RNA (tRNA) molecules are approximately 80 nucleotides in length. Their secondary structure includes four short double-helical elements and three loops (D, anti-codon, and T loops). Lineage: Eukaryota; Metazoa; Chordata; Mammalia; Rodentia; Bathyergidae. The record is from Rfam by way of RNAcentral.